GCUUACGACCAUAUCACAUUCUAAACACAACAUUUCGUCUGAUUUGUCAAGUUAAGUAACGUUGCGCCUGGAAUUCCCAGGUGCUAUAAGCG
RNAcentral lists this ribosomal RNA (92 nucleotides) under Gongylonema pulchrum. The record is from RNAcentral. Lineage: Eukaryota; Metazoa; Nematoda; Chromadorea; Rhabditida; Gongylonematidae.